GACGAACGCUGGCGGCGUGCUUAACACAUGCAAGUCGAACGGAAAGGCCCUGCUUUUGUGGGGUGCUCGAGUGGCGAACGGGUGAGUAACACGUGAGUAACCUGCUCUUGACUUUGGGAUAACUUCAGGAAACUGGGGCUAAUAUCGGAUAGGAGCUCCUGCUGCAUGGUGGGGGUUGGAAAGUUUCGGCGGUUGGGGAUGGACUAGCGGCUUAUCAGCUUGUUGGUGGGGUAGUGGCUUACCAAGGCUUUGACGGGUAGCCGGCCUGAGAGGGUGACCGGCCACAUUGGGACUAAGAUACGGAGCAGACUCCUACGGGAGGCAGCAGUGGGGAAUAUUGCACAAUGGGCGGAAGCCUGAUGCAGCAACGCCGCGUGCGGGAUGACGGCCUUCGGGUUGUAAACCGCUUUCGCCUGUGACGAAGCGUGAGUGACGGUAAUGGGUAAAGAAGCACCGGCUAACUACGUG
Molecule: ribosomal RNA, 468 nt
Filed under: uncultured bacterium
Lineage: Bacteria
Description: partial 16S ribosomal RNA
Rfam family: Bacterial small subunit ribosomal RNA
Source: RNAcentral